UAAUCCAGUCUCUCAGCCACAAUCCCGG
Molecule: non-coding RNA, 28 nt
Filed under: Rattus norvegicus (Norway rat)
Lineage: Eukaryota; Metazoa; Chordata; Mammalia; Rodentia; Muridae
Source: RNAcentral